UCAAUCAACAUAUAUAAAAUGAACAUUGAUUCAGUCCAGAAAGGCAGGACAACUCAAGCAAAAGCAGGAGAAUUCAAAGCAACUUGAAGCAACUCGAAGUAGGAAGAGGGCUUCCAGGUCACAGACUGUUUGACCUCUGGUAACUAAAACUGCAGAAGGCAAAACUGGAUAAGGAGACUACUGUAAUGAUUAUGCUAUUACAAGACGCUCGAUUGCUAACAUCAGACAUUUUUAUAAAAGGAAGUGAAGCUAUGAGAUCCACAAUGUGAAUGUCACCCAACCAGAGGUGUUACUUUGUGCCAUGUACAACAUACACAACCAUAGGCCAGAAUCCUGCUAGGACAUCUCUGCCUGUGGAAGGAGGGCUGGAUGGCAUACUGGGAAUGGCUUUCUAGGAUGACUUCCUGUUGCUACAGACUACAAGAAGCAUUUCUGGCCUUGAUGUUGUCUGAAUGAAGAAGACAUAGGAGUUUCACCAAAGCCUACAGGAAUGAGGAAGCAGGAAGGGCCAGAGUGAAGUGGAAACUUUGAACUUGAAGUUGGAAGACACUGGUACUCAUCUCUUCUAUUUGCUAGCUGUAUGAUCUUGGGCAACUUAUUUAAUUUAUCUUCCUCCAGUUUACUCAUUGAUUAAAUGAAGGUAACAAUUUUAUCUCAUAGGGAUAUGGGGAUGAUCGAGAGAGAUAAUAAAAGUGAAAGUGUU
Molecule: long non-coding RNA, 703 nt
Filed under: Homo sapiens (human)
Lineage: Eukaryota; Metazoa; Chordata; Mammalia; Primates; Hominidae
Description: HSALNT0309134
Source: RNAcentral